This 117-nucleotide non-coding RNA is filed under the name Rhodoluna lacicola. The record is from RNAcentral. Lineage: Bacteria; Bacillati; Actinomycetota; Actinomycetes; Micrococcales; Microbacteriaceae.
UAAAAAGUUAACAGAUUUUGCAUUUUGCAGGGGAAGUCGGUGAGAAUCCGACGCUGACCCGCAACCGUGAUCGAGUCUCUCGAAAGUCGGAUUGCCUGCAGAGCCGCAAAUGACUCC